AGUCUGGAUAUCUCUGUCUAGCCGCAUUUAUGCCUGUCUUCAGUUAAACCAACUUAAAUUGAAUGUAAUUACAGUCUGAAGAUUCCCACUCAGUAGCUCAUUCUUUUGAAGUUUUUUCUUUUUCUUUCUUUUUUUUUUUUUAAAUUAAACUCAAGUUGACAUGAAGUUCCAGGUGAAUUUUCACUUUCAAUGGCAUUGUUAGCUACUAUAGAAGAACAGCACUUGCUCUGCCACAGCUGUGAGUAAGGAAAGAUGUGUGUACACAGUUGCCUCUUUUGCUGUUUUCCUUGUUGAUUAUUUAUUUAUUUAUUUAUUUUUGAUUACCCUAAUUCCUACAGAUUUAUACCCUAAGCAUUUUUCCUCAAGAAUUGAAAAUGUUUUAAAACUGCAAACUGAGUAACUUCUGAACAAGUAUACAAAUAUAAGGUAAUAUUAUUACAAAUUUAAAUUGUGAAUUUUUUUUUCUUUUCUCAACUCAACCCCCACCUGUUUUUAUGGACACUGGGAAAGUCUGUAGUCUGAAUUCUCUUCUUCAUUGGAUAACCAUCUAACGAAGUCUGAAAGCAGUAGCUCUUCAUGUAGGGACCAACAGGAGUAUCUGGGAGGAAGCUCCAUUUACGUAAUGGUUCAUUUAUUUGAGCUUACUUAGAGAUCCAUCUUCUAAACAUGUGAUUCUUUCAUGCCAUGAAGAGAAGCAGGCGUGAUACUAGGAAACGGUAUUGGCAGACUGACAAGCCGUGGCUCUCUUCAUAGAAUCUCCUGAGACUGCAGGAGUUGAGUCACCGAUACAAAGGGAGUCUUGUGAGGACAUAAAACCUAUGCCUGUAGGAUCUUACAUUGUUACCUUAGUAAAAUGAAAGGUGACAGCAGUGGCUGUAACUUACUUUCUUCUUGACUCAGAUGACAGAAUGUAGAACUGUCAGAGUUGGCAGGGAUCGUGCCUGAAAGGGGAAGCACAUGACCGCCCCGCCCAAGAGGGGCUGGGGGGGGGGGCAGCCAUAACUCUUCAGUCUCUGCUUUCUCCUAUAGGAAGACCAGCCGUGAGUUAGACAAGAGGGGGCUUCCCUAAAUAUUUCUUGGCACUCUUAUUGGGAUGCAGUGUACUUGGCAGUCACAUCAAAGAAUUAUCUUCCCCAUCCCUUCUCACAGUAAGAGGAUAAUUCUAUGAGAAUUUUGCAGAGGACUUUUUUAAAGUAUAAAAUUGUAAUCCCAGACUGGGUGUGGUGAUAUAUAUACCUUUGAUCCCAGUGCUUGGGAAGUGGAAACGAGGCUCACAGUGAAUUCUAGGCCGGCCUGGGUUAUAUGAGACCCUGCCCUUUUUAAAAACUGUUUUUAUUUCAUGUAUCAAAGAGGCAGGGGUUAGGCUGGGUAGCAGUUCCGAUGCUGGGAUGGUUUAAGUUCGAUAAUAGCUUGCAUUGUUGGGGUAAGUGGCUUAUGUUGCUCAUUUGUAUGUGAAGUCUGUUUCUGAGACAGCCAGCCUCAAGCUUUUUAAAGGUAUGCUGUGAGGAGAGUGUGUGGAGUUCACCUGCAGCUGUCCUCAUAGCUUGCCUGCAAUCAAAUUUUUUAUGAUCCAUCUUUAACUUGAGUUGACAAACUUAGAAAUACAUGAAUGGACUAUACUGUCCUCCCAGACUUGGAAACUUAACUGACCAAAACUAGACUUUACAGCUAUAUUGGUCUUCUAGGGAAACCUUCAACUUUAUGUACAGAUUGGCUCUGAAAUUUUGAUCAUAUCUGCUGAUUUCCAUUGUGAAACAUCUUCAUCCUUUUCAAAUACAGGGAAUACAUUAAUAGAGCCUUUUAAUUACACCUUUAGCCUUUCUUUAACAAUUUAUACAGCUCCCUGUUUUUAUAAUACAGGUAUAGGAAGGGUACUGGCCAAGCUCUGGAAAUGAAGAUCUUGGUAAAUGUUUAUUAUUGUAUUUAAAAGAGGCAGACAUAGAAAACCAGUUUAGAGUUUGACCUUUGUAUGUCUCUUUGAGAAAUAAAAGUAUUUUCACUGAGGGAAAGGGCAUUAGACCAAAGUUUCCUGAAGACUUGAAUACAUUUCACAUGCUCUUUAGAACCACUUUAGUUACUGAUGUGAUGCCUGAAUAAGGCAAAUAGGAUGAAAACAUCCCACUCCUCUCAGCCCAACAUUGUUUCCAAGGGACACAGAACAUCGGGGGAGGGGGGAGUCUAAAUGAAAGGUAAUAGCAGUAUAACAACUUGUAAAAUCAUGAAAACUGUCACUGGGACUUACUCUUAGUUGGCACCUCUCACCAGAGCUUGUCCAGUUUGAGUGAUUGCCAACAGUGCUGGGAGAGUCGUUAGACUGGAAAUAACAGAGUGUGAACUUGCCUUACAUACUGGGCAUAUUCCAUGUGUGUGGAAAACCACCCGAGUUCCCAAGUGUUCUUAUGAAGUGAAGUAGAGAACUUGGGCAGACAAGAUGCUCCCUUUAUAAAUUUGGAUGUCUUUGGUCCUGGGAUCUUUGUAAGUUCUGUGUCUUAUGACCAUGAUGCUGGCUCAGAAACUCUGUAAGGACAGAGCCUCCUGUACAAACAAGAAAUAAUAGUCACUUUCCUGCUAUUGGUUUUAUUUACUUUAAAUGUUUUACUCAUGAACUUCGAUGAUUGCUUUGUAUGAGAAUGUAUGUACUUGGGGAAUUUGAAUUUAUUCUAAUAAGCUACCUAUUGACCUGGAGUUUUGUUGUAAGAACUCUAAACUCAAAGUCCAGUCCAAAUGGAUCUGGUUCCAGGUGCACUCUUUUGGGGUUGUUUUCCUUACUGCUUGUCUUCAGCCACAUGGGUGACUUUGCUCUGGGAACGGCCUUAGGCACACAGGUAGUGGGUGUCAAUGCAGCACAUGCUGAUUUUCUUGCCGCUGUGUUUAAGAAAUCAAAACUUUCUAAGAACCAGCAAAACCGGGAUGAAGGUUUGUAGGGGAGGUUGGGGGAUUAAAAAAAAGCAGGUCUAAAACUCUCAUAAUGCUUUUUUCUGACAAGUCUGGUGUGGUAGGUACCUACCAUGGUGAAGUGUUGUGAAAAAAAGACAAGCAACAGAUUGACCAGACGGUUGUCACUACCAGCAGUAAAGUGCAGAGUGGAGCCACAGGGAAGCAAGGAAGGAAGAAAGGGAGGGAGGGAACUUGUGUGAGAGGGGAACUGCUCUCAAGUGGAAACUCAGGCAGAAGGGUUCCUAGAUGGCUCAUUCUGUCUAUGUCUAGCUCAAGUCACAAUUAUUAGCAGAGGCUGAGAAGAAGCAGACAGUCUCUAGUCCUUUGUGAGAAUCUCUGAGGUUUUAACUGCUCACAUUUUCCUCCCACCUUCCUCCUUUUUUCCCCCUAAAGACAAUCAGGGGCUUGCCAGGAUGGGACUCCAGGCUGCUUCCAGCACCAUCCUUAGCCCUCUCUCCAGUACCCUCUCUUUGGAAGUAAUGCACUUUGUUUAAUGUAUUUUGCCUUUAAAAAAAAACAAAAGAAACAAAAAACAAGUUGCUUGUUUGGAACAAAAUGAGAUGCUUUCGGCACUGUAUCAUUCCUGCUUGCUGUUUUUCCUCUUAAUUUACAAUUUUAUGCAUUAAAGACAAAGUAUUCUUAAGGAGAAAUAUGCACAAGAAUACCUAUUAAAAUAACUCCCAUCAAGUUUGAUGGUAUAAUUUUUAAGGAUUAAAAACAGAACAAAAAUAUUUUGAGU
Molecule: long non-coding RNA, 3676 nt
Filed under: Mus musculus (house mouse)
Lineage: Eukaryota; Metazoa; Chordata; Mammalia; Rodentia; Muridae
Description: long non-coding RNA chr14:30819045-30822721
Source: RNAcentral